UUAAGUUCAGCGGGUAUCCCUACCUGAUCCGAGGUCAAACUUAGAAAGUUGGGGUUGCUGGCCAGUAACCACCGGGUCCCUAUAGCGAGGAUAUUUACUGCGCUCAGGGCCUCGGAGGCACCGCCACUGAUUUUAAGGCCCGCCAGGUUAGUGGCGAAGCCCAAUACCAAGCCAGGCUUGAGGGUUGUAAUGACGCUCGA
This 200-nucleotide unclassified non-coding RNA is filed under the name Helotiales sp. Its description in RNAcentral is "partial internal transcribed spacer 2". Lineage: Eukaryota; Fungi; Ascomycota; Leotiomycetes; Helotiales. The record is from RNAcentral.